AUUGAACGCUGGCGGCAUGCCUUACACAUGCAAGUCGAACGGUAACAGGUCUUCGGAUGCUGACGAGUGGCGAACGGGUGAGUAAUACAUCGGAACGUGCCCGAUCGUGGGGGAUAACGGAGCGAAAGCUUUGCUAAUACCGCAUACGAUCUACGGAUGAAAGCAGGGGACCGCAAGGCCUUGCGCGGACGGAGCGGCCGAUGGCAGAUUAGGUAGUUGGUGGGAUAAAAGCUUACCAAGCCGACGAUCUGUAGCUGGUCUGAGAGGACGACCAGCCACACUGGGACUGAGACACGGCCCAGACUCCUACGGGAGGCAGCAGUGGGGAAUUUUGGACAAUGGGCGAAAGCCUGAUCCAGCCAUGCCGCGUGCAGGAUGAAGGCCUUCUGGUUGUAAACUGCUUUUGUACGGAACGAAAAGACUCUUUCUAAUAAAGAGGGUCCAUGACGGUACCGUAAGAAUAAGCACCGGCUAACUACGUG
Molecule: ribosomal RNA, 482 nt
Filed under: uncultured bacterium
Lineage: Bacteria
Description: partial 16S ribosomal RNA
Rfam family: Bacterial small subunit ribosomal RNA
Source: RNAcentral